Molecule: unclassified non-coding RNA, 204 nt
Filed under: Hevea brasiliensis (rubber tree)
Lineage: Eukaryota; Viridiplantae; Streptophyta; Magnoliopsida; Malpighiales; Euphorbiaceae
Source: RNAcentral
GAGAAAAAAUUUGUGCAGCUAAUUAGUUGUAAUUUAUCAACUUCAGUAAAAUUUUAUAUCUAGCGUAAGUUCUUCUUCACUGAUUUGCUAUGUGCAAUAUGAUUAAUGAUUAAAUUAGUAGCAGAAUAUAGAUGCUAAUUAUCCUUUGAUUUUUGUCAUGUAGUUCUUCACUAACUUGGUCCUGUCACUAGAACAGGUGUGUAU